GUUUGAUCCUGGCUCAGGAUGAACGCUGGCGGCGUGCUUAACACAUGCAAGUCGAACGGGAAACCUUUUAUUGAAGCUUCGGCAGAUUUAGAUUGUUUCUAGUGGCGGACGGGUGAGUAACGCGUGGGUAACCUGCCUUAUACAGGGGGAUAACAGUCAGAAAUGACCGCUAAUACCGCAUAAGCGCACAGAGCUGCAUGGCUCGGUGUGAAAAACUCCGGUGGUAUAAGAUGGACCCGCGUUGGAUUAGCUAGUUGGUGAGGUAACGGCCCACCAAGGCGACGAUCCAUAGCCGGCCUGAGAGGGUGAACGGCCACAUUGGGACUGAGACACGGCCCAGACUCCUACGGGAGGCAGCAGUGGGGAAUAUUGCACAAUGGGGGAAACCCUGAUGCAGCGACGCCGCGUGAAGGAAGAAGUAUCUCGGUAUGUAAACUUCUAUCAGCAGGGAAGAAAAUGACGGUACCUGACUAAGAAGCCCCGGCUAACUACGUGCCAGCAGCCGCGGUAAUACGUAGGGGGCAAGCGUUAUCCGGAUUUACUGGGUGUAAAGGGAGCGUAGACGGAUGGACAAGUCUGAUGUGAAAGACUGGGGCUCAACCCCGGGACUGCAUUGGAAACUGCCCG
This 627-nucleotide ribosomal RNA is filed under the name uncultured bacterium. RNAcentral's name for it is "bacterial SSU rRNA". It matches the Rfam family "Bacterial small subunit ribosomal RNA", at positions 11 to 639 of the family's 1533-position model. The record is from RNAcentral.